RNAcentral lists this transfer RNA (73 nucleotides) under Deltaproteobacteria bacterium. RNAcentral's name for it is "tRNA-Ala". It matches the Rfam family "tRNA". Rfam says of the family: Transfer RNA (tRNA) molecules are approximately 80 nucleotides in length. Their secondary structure includes four short double-helical elements and three loops (D, anti-codon, and T loops). Further hydrogen bonds mediate the characteristic L-shaped molecular structure. tRNAs have two regions of fundamental functional importance: the anti-codon, which is responsible for specific mRNA codon recognition, and the 3' end, to which the tRNAs corresponding amino acid is attached (by aminoacyl-tRNA synthetases). tRNAs cope with the degeneracy of the genetic code in two manners: having more than one tRNA (with a specific anti-codon) for a particular amino acid; and 'wobble' base-pairing, i.e. permitting non-standard base-pairing at the 3rd anti-codon position. The record is from RNAcentral. RNAcentral also lists the same sequence under 1 other name. Lineage: Bacteria; Pseudomonadati; Myxococcota; Myxococcia.
GGGGGAAUAGCUCAGCUGGUAGAGCACCGGCUUUGCAAGCCGGGUGUCAGGGGUUCGAUUCCCCUUUCCUCCA